AACGAACGCUGGCGGCAUGCCUAACACAUGCAAGUCGAACGGGAUCCUAGCUUGCUAGGUGAGAGUGGCGGACGGGUGAGUAACACGUGGGAAUCUGCCUUUGGUUCGGGAUAACCGCGGGAAAACUGCGGCUAAUACCGAAUGCCCUCGAGAGAGGAAAGAUUUAUCGCCAGAAGAGGAGCCCGCGUCCGAUUAGGUAGUUGGUGGGGUAAAGGCCUACCAAGCCGACGAUCGGUAGCUGGUCUGAGAGGAUGAUCAGCCACACUGGGACUGAGAUACGGCCCAGACUCCUACGGGAGGCAGCAGUGGGGAAUAUUGGACAAUGGGGGCAACCCUGAUCCAGCAAUGCCGCGUGAGUGAUGAAGGCCUUAGGGUUGUAAAGCUCUUUUGCCAGGGAAGAUGAUGACUGUACCUGGAGAAUAAGCCCCGGCUAACUUCGUGCCAGCAGCCGCGGUAAU
This 458-nucleotide ribosomal RNA is filed under the name uncultured bacterium. RNAcentral describes it as "bacterial SSU rRNA". It matches the Rfam family "Bacterial small subunit ribosomal RNA", at positions 29 to 524 of the family's 1533-position model. The record is from RNAcentral.